RNAcentral lists this ribosomal RNA (1352 nucleotides) under Neoceratitis asiatica. Its description in RNAcentral is "16S ribosomal RNA". The stretch from base 1099 to 1258 matches the Rfam family "Archaeal large subunit ribosomal RNA", at positions 2544 to 2703 of the family's 2987-position model. Lineage: Eukaryota; Metazoa; Arthropoda; Insecta; Diptera; Tephritidae. The record is from RNAcentral.
UUUUUAAUAUUUAUUUAUUUAUAUUGAUUUAUUUAUUGUUAUUAUUAUAAUUGUAUUAAAAAUAAUUAUAUAAUUUCAUGUUUUAGUAAUUUUUAAUGAAAAAAUAAAAUUAAUAAUAGUGUAUUAUUGUAUUGUGAAAGAUAAUUGAAAUAUUUUGAAAAAUAUUUAUAAAAAAAGAAAAUUUGAUUUAUUGUACCUUGUGUAUCAGGGUUUAUUAAAUAAUUAAUAAUUUUUUAUUAAUCUCGAUUUUAUAAGAUUUAAUAAUUUAUGAAAGUUAAUGUAUUAAAAUUAUUUUUAAUAAAUUAUUUGAAAUGAAAUGUUAUUCGUUUAUAAAGAUAUCUAGUUUUUUUAGAAAUAAAUUUAAUUUAUAAAUUUUUAAUUUUUUAUUUAUUUAUUUAAUUAAAAAAAUUAUUAAUUUAAAUAUUUUAAGGGAUAAGCUUUAAAAUAAAUUUUUAAAAAUAAAUAAUAUUUUUAAUAAAUGUAUGCUUAAAAUUAGUAAUCAUUUAUAAGUUUGUUAUAAAUUAUUUAUUUUUAUAUAUUAUUUAAUUAAUUUUAAUUUUUUAUAAAAAUGUUUUUUUGAAUUAAAAAUAAGAAGAAAUAAUGAUAAAAUUAGUAUAAUAAAUUUUGUUUAAAUAUAUUUUAAUGAUAAGUUUAUAUAAAGAACUCGGCAAAUAUUUUACUCGCCUGUUUAACAAAAACAUGUCUUUUUGAGUUAUUUUUAAAGUCUAACCUGCCCACUGAAUAAAUUUUUGAAUGGCCGCAGUAUUUUAACUGUGCAAAGGUAGCAUAAUCAUUAGUCUUUUAAUUGAAGGCUGGUAUGAAUGGUUGGACGAAGUAUUAGCUGUUUCAUAUAAAAUUAUAUUAGAAUUUUAUUUUUUAGUUAAAAAGCUAAAAUUUUAUUAAAAGACGAGAAGACCCUAUAAAUCUUUAUAUUUGUUUUAUUUAUAAAUUUUAUAGAUUUAUUUUAUUUUUAUAUAAAAAAAUAUUUUAUUGGGGUGAUAUUAAAAUUUAAUAAACUUUUAAUUUAUAUUAUUUAAGAUCAUUAAUUUAUGAAUUAUUGAUCCAUUAUUAGUGAUUAUAAAAUUAAGUUACUUUAGGGAUAACAGCGUAAUUUUUUUUGAGAGUUCAUAUUGAUAAAAAAGUUUGCGACCUCGAUGUUGGAUUAAGAUAUAAUUUUAGGUGUAGUUGCUUAAAUGUUAAGUCUGUUCGACUUUUAAAUUCUUACAUGAUCUGAGUUCAGACCGGCGUAAGCCAGGUUGGUUUCUAUCUUUAAUUAUUUAUAAUAUUUUAGUACGAAAGGACCAAAUAUUAAAAUUAUAAAAUUUUAUAAAAAGAAUAUUAUUAAUUUUUAA